RNAcentral lists this ribosomal RNA (409 nucleotides) under uncultured bacterium. RNAcentral's name for it is "bacterial SSU rRNA". It matches the Rfam family "Bacterial small subunit ribosomal RNA", at positions 354 to 777 of the family's 1533-position model. The record is from RNAcentral.
GUUAGGAAUAUUGGGCAAUGGAGGAAACUCUGACCCAGCAACGCCGCGUGAAGGAAGAAGGUUUUCGGACUGUAAACUUCUGAUCUAGGGGAAAAAGAAAGUGAUGGUACCCUAGGAGAAAGCCACGGCUAACUACGUGCCAGCAGCCGCGGUAAUACGUAGGUGGCGAGCGUUGUCCGGAAUGACUGGGCGUAAAGGGAGCGUAGGUGGCUGAUUAAGUUAGAUGUGAAAGCCCAUGGCUCAACCAUGGAACUGCAUUUAAAACUGGUUAGCUAGAGUACAGGAGGGGUAAGCGGAAUUUCUAGUGUAGCGGUGGAAUGCUUAGAUAUUAGGAAGAACACCAGAGGCGAAGGCGGCUUACUGGACUGCAACUGACACUGAGGCUCGAAAGCGUGGGGAGCAAACAGGA